This 29-nucleotide non-coding RNA is filed under the name Homo sapiens (human). Lineage: Eukaryota; Metazoa; Chordata; Mammalia; Primates; Hominidae. The record is from RNAcentral.
UGCAGCAUAAGGGACAGAGCCACACGUAA